UGAGGCGCGGCGGGAGAGUCCCACCCCCAUCCAGUGGGCGGGCGCCGCAGGAGCAAAUCCUCCCCGGGAAUCUCUCAGGCAAUCGAUACCGCCGCGACUAG
This 101-nucleotide non-coding RNA is filed under the name Mycolicibacterium brisbanense. Its description in RNAcentral is "Mycobacterium brisbanense Glycine sequence". It matches the Rfam family "Glycine riboswitch aptamer". From Rfam's summary of the family: This family represents the bacterial glycine riboswitch. Lineage: Bacteria; Bacillati; Actinomycetota; Actinomycetes; Mycobacteriales; Mycobacteriaceae. The record is from RNAcentral.